CCAGCUGGCUGGACGGCCGCUCCUGCAAGAUCGAAAGGUCGCAGGAGAGGAAAGUCCGGGCUCCAUGGAAACACGGUGCCGGAUAACGUCCGGCGGGGGCGACCCCAGGGAAAGUGCCACAGAGAGCAGACCGCCCGGGAAGCCUUACGAGGCAGUCCGGGUAAGGGUGAAAGGGUGGGGUAAGAGCCCACCGCGGGCCCAGCAAUGGGAACGGCAUGGCAAACCCCACCGGGAGCAAGACCGAAUAGGGGCGGCACGGGCGCAAGCCCAGUCUGUUUCCCGACCCGCCGCCCGGGUUGGUUGCGUGAGGCGUCCGGCAACGGGCGUCCAAGAUGAAUGGUCGUCACGCGGUGGUUCGCCACCGCCCUACAGAACCCGGCUUAUAGGCCAGCUGGCGCU
RNAcentral lists this RNase P RNA (399 nucleotides) under Kaistia soli DSM 19436. RNAcentral's name for it is "Bacterial RNase P class A". It matches the Rfam family "Bacterial RNase P class A". From Rfam's summary of the family: Ribonuclease P (RNase P) is a ubiquitous endoribonuclease, found in archaea, bacteria and eukarya as well as chloroplasts and mitochondria. Its best characterised activity is the generation of mature 5'-ends of tRNAs by cleaving the 5'-leader elements of precursor-tRNAs. Lineage: Bacteria; Pseudomonadati; Pseudomonadota; Alphaproteobacteria; Hyphomicrobiales; Kaistiaceae. The record is from Rfam by way of RNAcentral.